Molecule: ribosomal RNA, 258 nt
Filed under: uncultured bacterium
Lineage: Bacteria
Description: partial 16S ribosomal RNA
Rfam family: Bacterial small subunit ribosomal RNA
Source: RNAcentral
GACGGAGGAUGCAAGCGUUAUCCGGAAUGAUUGGGUCGUAAAGCGUCCGCAGGUGGCAGUUCAAGUCUGCUGUCAAGACCGGGCUUAACUUCGGAAAGGCAGUGGAAACCUGAACAGCUAGAGUAUGGUAGGGGCAGAGGGAAUUCCUGGUGGUAGCGGUGAAAUCGCGUAGAGGAUCAAGGAAGAACCAUCGGUGGCGAAGGCGCUCUGCUGGACCUGAACUGACACUCAGGGACGAAAGCUAGGGGAGCGAAUGGG